CCGUGCUCGAUGGGGAGUUAGCGGUGCCCUGUAACCUGCAAUCCGCAACAGCAGUAUCGAAGUCCUCAUAGAGGCUCUAACUUGUGGAGUCUGCCCUAUGUAAGUGGUGUUGAGAGUUGGGCCCCACGCAAUGGAAACCUGUGAACCUCGUCAGUUCCGGAAGGAAGCAGCGAUAAGCAGUCAUUUUCAUGUGCCGUGGAUACGUCUGGC
Molecule: signal recognition particle RNA, 210 nt
Filed under: Staphylococcus aureus
Lineage: Bacteria; Bacillati; Bacillota; Bacilli; Caryophanales; Staphylococcaceae
Description: partial signal recognition particle sRNA large type
Rfam family: Bacterial large signal recognition particle RNA
About the family: The signal recognition particle (SRP) is a universally conserved ribonucleoprotein involved in the co-translational targeting of proteins to membranes. Archaeal SRP consists of a 7S RNA and homologues of the eukaryotic SRP19 and SRP54 proteins.
Source: RNAcentral